RNAcentral lists this small RNA (507 nucleotides) under Arabidopsis thaliana (thale cress). Its description in RNAcentral is "ATSL192820". The record is from RNAcentral. Lineage: Eukaryota; Viridiplantae; Streptophyta; Magnoliopsida; Brassicales; Brassicaceae.
GUCCGUGUACGUCAUGGUUUCCUGAACGCGUACACAACGACCAAAGAUGCCUUCCUCAGGUUCAAAUUUCCAUUCUCCUUCUUUGCAUUUCCACUCACCGACCAUAGUAAAUACGGGAACAUCCAUAACCCACCUGCAUCAUAAAUUCAGGAGACACACAUUAAAUGCAACUGAAAAAUACUAUACAUAUAAAAAACAAAUGGAAUGUCGAUACUACACAUUUAUAAACCUAAAUACCAAUUAUCAUUUGACUAUUUUAAACAAACAAAUAUAGAUUUUUCAAAUUUUCUGAUAAAAAAAUGGAGUUCGAACACAAUCAAGAUCCUAAUAUGACAUAACAAAAAACUUCUUAAAAGAACUUCAUUACUUACACGAGCAAUGCUUGUUUUGGUUCCAAACUUGGUACAAAAACAAGAUCAACACUUCUUCAGCAGCAAUGUACGUUCUCAAUAAUUCUUUGUUCCUGGGUUCAUCUUCUUUAUCUCAACAAUUUUUUUAUUAAUUAUU